This 230-nucleotide ribosomal RNA is filed under the name uncultured microorganism. RNAcentral's name for it is "partial 16S ribosomal RNA". It matches the Rfam family "Bacterial small subunit ribosomal RNA", at positions 524 to 753 of the family's 1533-position model. The record is from RNAcentral.
UACGUAGGUGGCAAGCGUUGUCCGGAUUUACUGGGCGUAAAGGAUGCGUAGGCGGAUAUUUAAGUCAGAUGUGAAAUACCCGGGCUCAACUUGGGUGCUGCAUUUGAAACUGGAUAUCUAGAGUGCGGGAGAGGUAAGUGGAAUUCCUAGUGUAGCGGUGAAAUGCGUAGAGAUUAGGAAGAACACCAGUGGCGAAGGCGACUUACUGGACCGUAACUGACGCUGAGGCA